Molecule: ribosomal RNA, 253 nt
Filed under: uncultured bacterium
Lineage: Bacteria
Description: partial 16S ribosomal RNA
Rfam family: Bacterial small subunit ribosomal RNA
Source: RNAcentral
UACGUAGGGGGCAAGCGUUGUCCAGAUUUAUUGGGCGUAAAGAGCGUGUAGGCGGCUUUACAGGUCCGUUGUGAAAACUCGAGGCUCAACCUCGAGACGCCGGUGGAAACCGUAAAGCUAGAGUCCGGAAGAGGAGAGUGGAAUUCCUGGUGUAGCGGUGAAAUGCGCAGAUAUCAGGAAGAACACCCGUGGCGAAAGCGGCUCUCUGGAACGGUACUGACGCUGAGACGCGAAAGCGUGGGGAGCGAACAGG